This 253-nucleotide ribosomal RNA is filed under the name uncultured bacterium. Its description in RNAcentral is "partial 16S ribosomal RNA". It matches the Rfam family "Bacterial small subunit ribosomal RNA", at positions 524 to 776 of the family's 1533-position model. The record is from RNAcentral.
GACAGAGGAUGCAAGCGUUAUCCGGAAUGAUUGGGCGUAAAGCGUCUGUAGGUGGCUUUUCAAGUCCGCCGUCAAAUCCCAGGGCUCAACCCUGGACAGGCGGUGGAAACUACCAAGCUGGAGUACGGUAGGGGCAGAGGGAAUUUCCGGUGGAGCGGUGAAAUGCAUUGAGAUCGGAAAGAACACCAACGGUGAAGACAGGUGACUGGGCCAGUUCUGACACUGAGGCACGAAAGCGUGGGGAGCGAACGGG